GUGUGAGAACUAUUCUGAAUCAUCCGCUCAACCAUUUUAUCACCAAGCGUUCUCAACGAUUCCGCGAAUCUAAGUGCUUGGAAAUUAGCCAAGCAUCUAAGAUCCUGGACAUUAGGAGGAACUGCAUGAGCCAGCCUAUUGGAGAAAGGUGCAAUUCUUACAGCCCUGCAAAUAUAAAUUAGGAAACAGUUGGUUACUAAAUUAAGAUCAUUAGUACCUACUGAUUCUAACUGAUACUUUCAGGAGGAACAAAACUGAGAAAUAGGAAAAUGGCAUGCCUCAUCUCUUUGAGCUUGGGAAGCACCUUCUGGAGAUAGUAAGUGGGACUGGACCAUCCCUUUACUCUUAGAUUUACAAUGCUGCUUAUAUUAUUAUGAAACUGCUCAAGUACAUCUUUCGGGAGUUGACGAACUACAUUCACAUUAUUCUUCAGGGCAUCGAUGAAGAAAUCUUCAUCAAAUAUGUCUCCAAAUUUGCUGUAACACGUAGAUAGUACUUAUUUAGAAAAGCUUACAAAACAUACAUUAAUAAAAAAUUAUAUCGACAUACGUAAACAACUGCAUCAAAUUAGUAGCCCUGCAAUCACCUGG
This 590-nucleotide long non-coding RNA is filed under the name Linum usitatissimum (flax). Its description in RNAcentral is "long non-coding RNA (LUSI_LNC004167)". Lineage: Eukaryota; Viridiplantae; Streptophyta; Magnoliopsida; Malpighiales; Linaceae. The record is from RNAcentral.